GACGAACGCUGGCGGCGUGCUUAACACAUGCAAGUCGAACGGAAAGGCCCUGCUUUUGUGGGGUGCUCGAGUGGCGAACGGGUGAGUAACACGUGAGUAACCUGCCCUUGACUUUGGGAUAACUUCAGGAAACUGGGGCUAAUACCGGAUAGGAGCUCCUGCUGCAUGGUGGGGGUUGGAAAGUUUCGGCGGGUGGGGAUGGACUCGCGGCUUAUCAGCCUGUUGGUGGGGUAGUGGCUUACCAAGGCUUUGACGGGUAGCCGGCCUGAGAGGGUGACCGGCCACAUUGGGACUGAGAUACGGCCCAGACUCCUACGGGAGGCAGCAGUGGGGAAUAUUGCACAAUGGGCGGAAGCCUGAUGCAGCAACGCCGCGUGCGGGAUGACGGCCUUCGGGUUGUAAACCGCUUUCGCCUGUGACGAAGCGUGAGUGACGGUAAUGGGUAAAGAAGCACCGGCUAACUACGUG
Molecule: ribosomal RNA, 468 nt
Filed under: uncultured bacterium
Lineage: Bacteria
Description: partial 16S ribosomal RNA
Rfam family: Bacterial small subunit ribosomal RNA
Source: RNAcentral